Non-coding RNA from Glycine soja, 92 nucleotides. Lineage: Eukaryota; Viridiplantae; Streptophyta; Magnoliopsida; Fabales; Fabaceae. The record is from Rfam.
UAGCCAAUGAUGAUAUCAGUCAUCAAAUACCAUCUUUCGGGACUGAAUGGCUUCUUUUGCCUUGCUGUUAUUAUUCUGCAAUUCUGAGACUU